This is a non-coding RNA of Caenorhabditis elegans, 350 nucleotides long. NCBI's taxonomy places the organism in Eukaryota, Metazoa, Nematoda, Chromadorea, Rhabditida, Rhabditidae. The record is from Ensembl.
CAUUCGACUGGCGGAUGGAUGAACAGAUGCCAAUGCACAAUGAGUCCCAGAACAGACCUCAUCUCCUUCCGAAAGUUCACAGCUGUGGUUUGACUAAGAUUGACACAUUUUCGUUUUUCAAUUUGACAUUUUGUUCGUCCAGUACUCUGAGUACCUACAUGAUAAUUUAUAGACUUCUGGCUAUUGAAAGAAAUGUUUAAAUAGAAGCUCCAGGGCUCCGAAAAAGUAAAAGUAAAUGAUGUGCAAAAGCUCUGUGCGAGUAGCAGCUGGGUAUAUGGAAACAACAUGCGCAUUCUCUACCGAUUAGACACAGAUGUGCUCCACCACGAGCACAGCUUGUGCUCCGCGCC